RNAcentral lists this ribosomal RNA (324 nucleotides) under uncultured eukaryote. RNAcentral's name for it is "partial 18S ribosomal RNA". It matches the Rfam family "Eukaryotic small subunit ribosomal RNA", at positions 1470 to 1796 of the family's 1831-position model. The record is from RNAcentral.
CCCUUAGAUGUUCUGGGCCGCACGCGCGCUACACUGGUCGAUGCAACGAGUUUCUUUCCUUGGCCGACAGGCCUGGGCAAUCUUUGAACAUCGAUCGUGAUCGGGAUAGAUUCUUGUAAUUUUUGAUCUUAAACGAGGAAUUCCUAGUAAACGCAAGUCAUCAGCUUGCAUUGAUUACGUCCCCGCCCUUUGUACACACCGCCCGUCGCACCUACCGAUUGAAUGGUCCGGUGAAAUCUCCGGACUGGCGUGAGUCGGAGCAAUCUGACAAACACCGGAAAGUUGAUUAAACCUUACCAUUUAGAGGAAGGUGAAGUCGUAACA